Molecule: unclassified non-coding RNA, 253 nt
Filed under: uncultured Parcubacteria group bacterium
Lineage: Bacteria
Description: contains 16S-23S intergenic spacer region
Rfam family: Bacterial small subunit ribosomal RNA
Source: RNAcentral
UACAGAGGCCCCAAGCAUUAUCCGGAUUUACUGGGCGUAAAGGGUGCGUAGGCGGUUAUAUUAGUCGGAUGUUAAAUCCUGGGGCUCAACCCCAGGCUCGCAUUCGAAACGGUAUAACUAGAAGAAGUCAGAGGCAAGCAGAACUCACGGUGUAGGGGUGAAAUCCGUUGAUAUCGUGGGGAAUACCAAAUGCGAAGGCAGCUUGCUGGGACUCUCUUGACGCUGAGGCACGAAAGCGUGGGUAGCGAAUCGG